Long non-coding RNA from Oreochromis niloticus (Nile tilapia), 225 nucleotides. RefSeq lists it as uncharacterized. The record is from RefSeq and is a predicted model, not a curated record. NCBI's taxonomy places the organism in Eukaryota, Metazoa, Chordata, Actinopteri, Cichliformes, Cichlidae. The transcript has 3 exons.
GGCUGUCGAGCGAAAAGCUUGAUGGGAAAUUUGAUAACGUUAGCACCAGAAUUAAUAUGUUUGCAAGUCUUUGGGACAUCAGAACAUUUUGGAAGCUCAGUAUUUUGUCAUUUUUUUAAUGCAAUUAUGGCCUGUAGUCCAUGUUCAAAAAUGUCAUGGUCUGACAGAUAUGGAAGCUUGCUUCAGCCGCUGUGGAAGAAAAGAUAAAUAAAUUAAAACUUUUUG